This 662-nucleotide long non-coding RNA is filed under the name Homo sapiens (human). RNAcentral describes it as "HSALNT0404998". Lineage: Eukaryota; Metazoa; Chordata; Mammalia; Primates; Hominidae. The record is from RNAcentral.
ACUCCGGCGCUCUGCGGAGGACAGCAGCGAUCGCCAAGGCUCACUCUAUGAUCAGAAGAUGGCAUAAGUGGGGCUGGGCACAGUGGCUCAGUGCCCAGCUGGGAUUACGCCUGUAAUACCAGCACUUUGGGAGGCCAAGGUGAGUGGAUCACGAGGUCAGGAGUUGAAGACCAGCCUGGCCAACAUGGAGAAACCCCGUCUCUACUAAAAAUACAAAAAAUUAGCCGGGCGCGGUGGCAGGUGCCUGUAAUCCCAGCUACUCGGGAGGCUGAGGCAGGAGAAUAGCUUGAACUCAGAGGGCGGAGGUUGCAGUGAGCCAAGGUUGCGCCACUGCACUCCAGCCUGGGCGACAGAGUGAGACUCCGUCUCUAAAAAACAAAAAAGAAGAUGGCGUAAUCAGAAGUUGAUAUUCUGUCUAUUGGAUCCUGCUUCUCCCCUGGGGUCUUCUUGGUUCCCUGAAGCCCCUCUUCCGGAGUCCCUGCCCUCUAUCGGCUCUGCCUCCUGCUUCUUUUCUGUAUUGCCAUGAUUUUUGCUAAGGAUAAAGGACAACUUCAUUGGCUUCUUUGGGAAACUUGCAAUCUCCCCAAACAGGCCCCUCUGAGAUUUCUCCUUUCCAUUUGCUUCUGCUCCCCCUUCCUCCUUUUGCCACCUUCGAUAUUUUC